GAUGAACGCUAGCUACAGGCUUAACACAUGCAAGUCGAGGGACCGGCGCACGGGUGAGUAACGCGUAUCCAACCUGCCCAUAAGUAGGGUAUAACCCGCAGAAAUGCGGACUAAUCCCAUAUGCUUAUGGCUGGGGAUGAGUCCGAUUAGCUUGUUGGUGAGGUCACGGCUCACCAAGGCUUCGAUCGGUAGGGGUUCUGAGAGUAAGGCCCCCCAGAGAGGAACUGAGGCACGGGCCUAAAUCCUACGGGAGGAAGCGGGGAGGAAUAUUGGUGAAGGGGAGAGAGCCGGAACCAGCCAAGUAGCGUGCAGAAUGACGGCCUAUGGGUUGUAAACUGCUUGUAGGCGAGGAUAGGUACCGCAUGAAUAAGGACCGGCUAAUUCCGUGCCAGCAGCCGCGGUAAUUC
This 407-nucleotide ribosomal RNA is filed under the name uncultured bacterium. RNAcentral describes it as "partial 16S ribosomal RNA". It matches the Rfam family "Bacterial small subunit ribosomal RNA", at positions 28 to 526 of the family's 1533-position model. The record is from RNAcentral.